CAAACAUUCUUACUUGAAACAGAUAUUAUUUAUUACUGGUUUUACUUAAAUAUGGUUUUCAUUGAGAAAAGCAUAAAUGCACUUUCUUUCUGCACAAUAGUUUUCCCUCUUUUGUGUUAAAUGAUUUGAUUUUGCAUAAUGUCCUGCACUGUAUACACCUUCUUGGUGUUCUAGCCACUACUGACAAAACCUGACAGAUCUUCUUUUUUUUAUCUAGCUUGCUAACUUUGCCAGGAAGAGGUGAAGAAAAAUGUUGAGCUUUCCUCUAUGACUCAGGCAAAAGGGAGGAAAUAUUUUCUUGACUUACCAUUAGGAGCAUCAAGUUUCCCAUCUUCAACUAUGGAAGAAGGAGAGAGGUAAAAGCUGUUAUUUCCUCAUUUGCUUGUCUGCCUGGGAUUAGAAGACCAAGUCUUUCAUAUUUGCUCUGGCACUGCCUUGGAAGAAGUUAAAUYCCGUAGAGGUAUAAACCUACAGGAGGAAACAACAGGGAAAUGAAAUGAAACUGCACAGUAUCAUGGACUGGACUCUGCUUUGUUUGACAAUUUGAUCACAUAUUUAAUUGUGUCACAGUGUCUGUAUAAGAUUCGGCAAAAACAGAAAUGUUCUUGCAGAACAUAUUCACAGAAUCACUUUAUGAUGGAAGAUGAUGUCAUGCGAAAUUUUUUCUGCAGCUCCAUGAAUGUAACAUG
RNAcentral lists this long non-coding RNA (689 nucleotides) under Dromaius novaehollandiae (emu). RNAcentral describes it as "lncRNA (ENSDNVG00000005429.1)". The record is from RNAcentral. Lineage: Eukaryota; Metazoa; Chordata; Aves; Casuariiformes; Dromaiidae.